This is a long non-coding RNA of Sarcophilus harrisii (Tasmanian devil), 5537 nucleotides long. RefSeq lists it as uncharacterized. The transcript has 2 exons. The record is from RefSeq and is a predicted model, not a curated record. Lineage: Eukaryota; Metazoa; Chordata; Mammalia; Dasyuromorphia; Dasyuridae.
AAACCGUUUUGAACAGCUCCCCAGUGGGUUCAGAGCAUUCUAGAAGCUAAAGGCCCUCUUGUUGCUGACUAGCAGAAGGCUAACCAAAUAUCAGGUUCUCUACUAGACACUUCCCAAUUUAACUCUCUGGGUGUGUCUCCUUGCCCUGCCAUCUUGUUUCCUGACACUACGAAGUCCAGUGACAUUAUUCAUAGUUGUGAGGAAACUAGAUUCAGUCUACUCUAGUUGACCUGGCUUGAGAGAUGUUUCUCUCAACAACCUUGAUGAUGAAUGGUUUACUGAUGGGUCCAGUUUUUUUUGAAGAUGGGAACAGAAAGACCUUCCUCACUCCUCAUGAGAACCCAGAGAAGACCUAAAACUGCUGUUCCUCAGAACCCCUGGAACACUGGAAAGGUAUCGUAUGGAGCAGGGUGAACUUGUCUGUGUUCUUUUUUAACCCUUUUCAUUUCUCUUUUUUUACUUUCCAGUUUCUCCAACUUAAUUUCUUCCUCUCAAACUACUGAAUCUUUUUCAGUGCCCUUUGAACCAUUCAUCCCAAGGAUGAGGGCCCUACUCCCAGUGCUCUUUCUUCAGGUCUCCUUACCCUACUUUGGAGCUCCCUCCAGUGGGGCCAUAACUCCUUGGUUAGGUUAGGAAACUCCAUAGGCAGCAGGAGUGUCCAAGGUUGUGAUGUGUGCUGUGGACAUCCCCACGGCAGCCGGCAGCUCUGACCUGACGCACUCUUAGCAAAGGCCACAUUUCUGAGAGUCACGGUCUCCACCCUAAAUGCCUCCCCAUUAGUAGUAGCCACCCUCUUGCCAACAACUUGACCUUAACUACUUGUUUUCUCGCCAGAAAAUCUCUCUCAUAGCUCAGCAUGUCUAAUCACAGGUGCAGAAACCUGUGAUGGCCUUGUUUACAUCCCAGAUAUGGAGCCAAGGACUUGUAGCACAAACACUGGGGGAGCAAGUGCAUAUAACCACUCUCACAAGUGUCUUAAUUUCACCUUAGCCACCUGUAUAUGAGGGCUAGAGCACUUACUAUACCUAUGACUAUGUAAAAAUGUCAUAUGUAUACUAUGACCAUAAACCACCUAUAGAGAGAACAGCAGUACCAAAACUGUUCCAAAAGUGUUUUAGCAAACUCACCUACAACACUUCUGCAUCCCUCUCCCCAGGCUCCUCCAGAAUAUCCUGAGAACAGACAUUCCUGUUGACAUAAAGCCAUGCAACUAGAGGGGCCCCUGGGGAGAACUAGCCAGAAAGCAAUUACCAAAGGUGACCUCCGGCACUUUUAUCUGUAAAGUGAGUCUUGUACAAUUUCACUUUGAUAGUUCUCAUGGCUGUUAGGGGGAAUGCUUCUGACUGUAACCCCUCUCAACCUGUCAUCUGCUCUAUCCAAUGUCUAAUCCUGUACACACUUUGGUGCAUGCACCUUGGCCGCCUGAAUACUCCUUUUCCAUGUAUAAUGCCAACAUUCCCUCCACCAACCUUACCAUGAUGAGAUCGAGGUGAGUGUUUGGAGAGAAUGUUCUCUGGUUUGUAAGGAAAGGAAGGGUCAGGCUCAUUCUCUGGGUGGGGUACUUAGAACAUGAAAAUAUCCUCUCUAAUCCGAGUGCCAUCUACCACCAAACAGCUAAGCAAGUGGUGCACUCUCUCCCAAGUCCUCCAAGAAUCCCUGGACUCCUGGCCAACAUUUUUUUUUCCUGAGACAAUUGGGGUUAAGUGACUUGCCCAGAGUCACACAGAUUUGAACACAGGCCCUCUUGACUUCAGGGCUGAGGGUGUCUAUCCACUGUGCUACCUAGCUGCCCCCAACAUAUUAUAUUCUUAGACAACUGGUUAGCCUUAGAUGCUCAUUUAAAGUCUUUAGUGGUGGUGAUGGUCUCCUUGCCAACACCUCCUACUUUAUGUACAUCAAUACUCUGGGGAAGGUUGAAUGCCAUAUAUGAGGAUCCUAAAAAAAACAAAACAAAAGUCUUUAUAAAUACGAGACAUUUUCUCCAAGUUUUUUUUUUUUUCUGGGUGGGGUCUCUUGGCUACUCCUUCUAUUGAACUCCAUACUUACUCCAAUUUUAAUCAAUCUUUUCCUGCUCAUUUUUGGUUCUUGCAUUUUAAAGCAACUACUAAGCUUCAUUUCUUCUAGGGUCCAGACCAUGAACUUCCAAUUACUUGCUCCACCUGGAUACUCCUUUCUACCUGAUUCAGAGACCCAGCACCUUCUGGAUUCUACCCCUAAUCUCUUUAAGUCACACAUCUCCCCUUCUCAAUCUGCACCCCACUAAGUAGGGACAUCUCUACGACCCCUUCCAGCGGGAAGUAACUGCAGAAGAUGAGACCUUCGUCCCUUUGCCCCAAAUGAGUUUAGGUCCCAAAUGCUUGAGGGGGAAUGAAGUGGGACAUUUCUAAUGUGAUACAAUUUUUAGGAAUGUUAUACUAAUGCAAUUUUUAGAAAUGCUGUAGUACUGGGUCCAAGUUAUUAAAUACCCUAAAAUGCCAGAUUCCAGGGAGGAUAUGAAACAGAUUCCACACUAUCUGAAUGAAGAAGUCCUAUAUUUAGGUGAUCUUUCUCAGGUUAUCCUGCUGAGUCAGAUGGCUAAGCUUAAAGGAAUGCCAACAUACCAGCCUGCUGGUUGGCGAAAAUGGAUUUUAAUGAAAAUAAUGAGCAUCAGUAAGGAGAUGCCUAAAGUUAUCACAGGCCCAGUAUAAAAUUAGAUGCCUGACAUUUGACCUAGUGAUCUUUCAGUCCUAAAAAAUGCAUCUCUGGAGAUGACUCCCCCCAUGAACUCUGGCCAGGGAAAUAUGGGAACUACAUCUGCCCGCAAAGUUAAGAACCUAACCUGUUCUCAACUUCAUAUAACAACAUUCACUUGUCCUACAAAAUGACCAACUUACAGUGGGAGGUGCUUUUGCCUAGCCUUUAGCUCAUAACUGCUUGUGGUUGCCUUAGUAAAUGAUUUUUGAGACCUUAUAUGGCCUGAAGGUCAGCAAGGCCCUGAAGCUGUGUUCGUCCCAACAGUUGCCUUGUGGCUGUUGGAGAGGUCUGGGUUGGAGUUUAAUAUCUCCUGAGUGAUGAGCCCUGAGGCUACAUGUUUAGCUAAUAGAUGCCUCAGAACUGGUGUGGAGGUGUUAGGGACUUGAGGCAGCUGCCAAGUCCCUGCCAGCAGUCUUAAUGUUGCAGUCUUAGUCUCAGGGUACUCACUGUGAAUCAAUGUAGUUGAUUUUAAAGGGGAAAAAAAUCCCAAUCUAUUUAAAAAGGAAAAAAUUCAGUCAUAUGUUCCCUUCUACAUAAAAUUGAAAAAUUACAUCUAAAAUGAGAGUUUUAAAAUCACCAGAAGUAUUUAAAAAUUAUGAAAAUUUUUGUCUUUCAAAAUUCUAAUGAAGAUGUCCAGUAUCAUAUUUGAGAUUUUUCAUUCAUCUGGGCAUUGGUGUCUGCAAUAUCUCUGCCCUUAUCAAUGCUCAGUGGAGCAGAAACCUGGUGACUUAAGGCUGAGUAGAAUCUGGCUAGCAGUGCUCCUAAGCUCCCAAGCAAAAACCUCCUAAACAGGUCCUCAGUGUUGUAGGCAGGGCAGAUGCAGCUUCUUGGUAGUACUUUGCAAGUAACUUUGAUCCUACAAAAGGAUGCUGGUGGUCAGCAAUUUCUGACUGGGGAUGUUGGGUUGAAUAUUAUCAGAAUCUGUCUCACUAAAGUUCUUUUUGUUGUUCAAAAAAGGAAUGUCCAGUGCCUUUCUGGUUUCUCUUCCAAAGAAGCAGGGCUCCAGGGUUGGAUGGAAACUGGCUAGCAGUCCUCCUUGGCAAAGGCAGGUCCUGGGCAUGGUAGGUAGGGCAGAUGCAGCUUCUUGGUAGUACUUUACAAGUUACCUUAAAUCCUCUAAAAGAAGCCUGGUGAUCAGCGGUUUCUGCUUGGGGACUAUAGGUAGAGUCUACUAAAUGAUCCUUUUGCCUUGGGAAACCUCAGGAAGGUGCUUAGGACCUGAAGGCUUCUUUGCCAGGGGGAAAAAGCAAGUCAGAUUUUGAGGCCAAGUGGAAAAACAUUGCAUUCAGUGACUAAUUUUAUGGCCACUGAGGUUCCCUUUGUGUCUGGCCUCUGAUGGAAGGGCAAGGUUGGGAUGGAUGAUACUCCUUGGAGUAAAAGGACAUUGGCUCAGCCAUUACUCUGGAAAGAUCCAGAAUCAGGUGCAGCACAGCCAAUGCCAUGAAAAUUUAAUUUUUUCUUUUCCAAAGAUUUUGAAAAAAAGAUGUACAAUCAUGCCUUUGUAGUUUUUCAACAAAUGAAGUAGGGAUCCAGGGACCAAGGCUAGAAGUAUUGGUUGGCAAAGGCAGGUCCUCAGUUUUGUAGGCAGGGCAGAUGCAGCUUCUUGGUAGUACUUUGCAAGUAACCUUGAUCCUACAAAAGGAUCCUGGUGGUCAGCAGUUUCUGACUGGGGAUGUUGGGUUGAGUGUAUAAGAAUCUGGAUCACUGAAAGUUCCUUUUGUUGUUCAAAAAAGGAAUGUCCAGUGCCUUUCUGGUUUCUCUUCCAAAGAAGCAGGACCCCAGGGACCAAAGUUGGAUGGAACCUGGCUAGCAGUGCUCCUUGGCAAAGGCAGGUCCUCAGCCUGGUAGGCUGGGCAGAUACAGCUUCUUACUCUACAUUUAAGCACCUUUAAAAAAGUCCCUAAAGGGAUCCUGGUGGUCCGUUUCUGCCUGGGACCUUUGGGUGGAGUGUACUGAACAGUUCUUUUGCCUGGGGACAAUCUCAGGAAGGUGCUCAGGAUCUGAAGGCUUCUUUUCAAUUGAGAAGUCAUGGGUUGGGGAGGCAGGUUGGGGUUUAAGACUGCAUUUUUUGAGGAGCACUGCAUUUGAUACAUUUUUAGGACCACUGAGGUUCCUUUUGUGUCCAGUCUCUGAUGGAAGGGCAAGGCUGGGUGGCUUCCUGAUGCUCUUGGAAUCGAAGGAGAGUUUAUGGCUCAGCCAUUACUCUGGGAACAUAAGAGUCUAAGUGCAGUACAGCCAAUGUUGGGUAUUGAAGCCACAAGGAGGGCACAAGCUCCUUCCUGUGAGGCACUGAAGUGACCCCGCAUUAAUUUCAAUCUGGCAAUCUGGCAGUUCAGGGUGGGCACCUGCUCAGUGCUGGACCUGGGGGAGGGGGUCAUUUUCCUAUAAAGGGGAAAUUCGUUGAGAAGGCCCUGACCUUCUCAGUAACAGCACUGACCUGGUCUGUUGGCAGAGGUUUUUCUGAGGCACUGGGACCAAGUCUGUGGAGGAAGAAGGGAACUGGUGAGCAAAGGGGAAGGAAAUCAGGAAAUAAAUUGUGGGUGGGAAAGAUAGUACCGGAAUAGGGAGCAGAGAUCUACUCAGUGAUACUUGACCUUUGGAGAACUGGAUCCUUUCAAUAUACUCUUACAUGUACUGUUAUUUCACACAGGAAGCCCAAGGGACAACUUUGUUACAUCCAAUUUUCUUAUAAACCAUUUAUUUGUACAGGUACAGAUAGCAAGCUCCUUCAGCUCACAGAUUGGCUUGUGGCGUUGUAUGUGCCCAUUGCCUUGUACAGAGUUUGGUCCAUAGCAGACAAUAAA